Molecule: ribosomal RNA, 327 nt
Filed under: Streptococcus agalactiae
Lineage: Bacteria; Bacillati; Bacillota; Bacilli; Lactobacillales; Streptococcaceae
Description: bacterial SSU rRNA
Rfam family: Bacterial small subunit ribosomal RNA
Source: RNAcentral
UUAAUGAGAGUUUGAUCCUGGCUCAGGACGAACGCUGGCGGCGUGCCUAAUACAUGCAAGUAGAACGCUGAUGUUUGGUGUUUACACUAGACUGAUGAGUUGCGAACGGGUGAGUAACGCGUAGGUAACCUGCCUCAUAGCGGGGGAUAACUAUUGGAAACGAUAGCUAAUACCGCAUAAGAGUAAUUAACACAUGUUAGUUAUUUAAAAGGAGCAAUUGCUUCACUGUGAGAUGGACCUGCGUUGUAUUAGCUAGUUGGUGAGGUAAAGGCUCACCAAGGCGACGAUACAUAGCCGACCUGAGAGGGUGAUCGGCCACACUGGGAC